RNA transcript from Misgurnus anguillicaudatus (oriental weatherfish), 1723 nucleotides. It is a transcript of the gene named ankyrin repeat and SOCS box containing 1, with no coding region annotated. NCBI's taxonomy places the organism in Eukaryota, Metazoa, Chordata, Actinopteri, Cypriniformes, Cobitidae. The record is from RefSeq and is a predicted model, not a curated record.
CUGCUAAAAAUAUAACGAUGAUAACAGUUAGUUGUGUACAGACAGUCGCGGUAGUUUAAGUCUUACCUCGUGUUUAAUUUUGGUGUUUUAUUGUAGUUUAUGUCACACUGAGAAGAAACUUGACGAACAGAUAAUGGCUGAUGCUGGAGAUGAUGUUGAUGAUCCACCCAGUAUGAGCUGCCCACUGGUGACUGUCUCACAUCUCCCAAACACUACCGCAGCUGGGCGUAACCUGAAGGAAUGGCUCCAGGAGCAGUUCUGUGAUAAACCCUUGGAACAGUGUGAGGACAUGCGUCUACAUAACGCUGCCUAUGUGGGAGAUUUGGAGACUAUAAGGACCCUCCUGCGAGAAGACAGCUUUAAACAGCGGAUCAAUGAAAAGUCAGUAUGGUGCUGCGGGUGGCUGCCCUGCACACCCCUGCGUAUCGCUGCCACGGCCGGUCACAGCGAGUGUGUGCAUUUCCUGAUCUCUCAGGGAGCCGAUGUAGAUUUGGUAGACGUGAAGGGACAGACCGCUCUGUAUGUGGCUGUGGUUAAUGGCCAUUUGGACUGUGUGAAGAUCCUUCUGGAAGCUGGCGCUGAUCCGAAUGGCAGCAGACAUCACCGAAGUACCCCUUUAUACCACGCUGCACGCGUGGGUCGGGUGGACAUCCUACAAGAGCUGAUCAGGUUUAAUGCUGAUGUCGAUGUAGACCACCAGCUGGGCCCCAGACCCUUGUUUAGUGCCCGCAUUCUGACUACUCUGGUGGUCUGUCCGCUGUACAUCAGCGCUGCGUAUCACCACCUCCAUUGUUUCCGGAUGCUUCUACAGGCUGGUGCCAACCCAGACUAUAACUACACCGGCCCCGUGAGCAGAGAGGCGCUGACCAGAGGCCUGGCUUCAUGUCUUCUGGAUGCGGUCCUGAGACACGGCUGCGAACCUGCAUUUGUAAGCUUGCUGCUGGAUCACGGCGCUGACCCGUGGCUGGUCCCGUGGGACGAGCCUGAUUCCGAUGCUAUGGGUCGUGUACGGGUCAAUCCUGAAGCCCUCUGCAUCUACCAGGAGGCCAGAAGAUGCUCAAGGAAAUUGACGCAUAUGUGUCGUAUUGAGAUCCGGAGGGUCAUGGGGAAGCAUCGCUUGUCACGCAUCUCAUCUCUUCCGUUGCCGGACACCAUUAAGAACUUUCUUCUCCACAAGGAAUGAGGUGGAUCUGCUGCUUCAUUCAAACAGUAUUUAACUCACAGGUGUGAGUGUGGACACUUACUUCCAGCACCGACAGACAGACAGACAGACAUAUGGCAGAAGCCUUGGCAGUGAAGUGCGGUGACCGGCAGAAGAUAGAAUCGCUAGUGAGUGUUCCAGAAUCUCUGCCCUUGAACAUUUCAGAUAAGAAAUAGGCCUACAUUUGCAAAGAAGGCAAACAUAAAUCCCAAAUUACUAAAAAGUCAAAAGAUGAUUGAUACCAGUGGUGGCGUUUGUGCAAGAAGUCGUAUUGCAGGUCAGCAGUCUUGUAGCAGUGAGUUUGUAUUUAUUUAGUCUACCUUUGAUUUAUAUAUUGUGUAGAUUAGAUUAGGGGUUUCCAAACUGGAGGGCACAAGAUGAUGCUAGGGGACCCCAGUUUUAUUACAUUUUUUAAAAUCGUAUUUAUCAUAAAAAUCAGUGUAAUCAAACCUCAGAAAAAUUUAGGUACCAGGCAUUGUAUAAUUUAAUAUGUUUUGUUUUAUUCAGAUUUUAAGUUUGAGA